GACGAACCGUGCGAACGUUAUUCGGAAUCACUGGGCUUAAAGCGCGUGUAGGCGGAUGGGAACGUCGGUCGUUGAAAGCCCCCGGCUCAACCGGGGAAUGGGCGCCGAAACGGCCCGUCUGGAGGGACGUAGGGGGACCUGGAACUUCCGGUGGAGCGGUGAAAUGCGUUGAGAUCGGAAGGAACGCCCGUGGCGAAAGCGAGGUCCUGGACGUCUGCUGACGCUGAGCAGCGAAAGCGUGGGGAGCAAACAGG
RNAcentral lists this ribosomal RNA (254 nucleotides) under uncultured bacterium. RNAcentral describes it as "partial 16S ribosomal RNA". It matches the Rfam family "Bacterial small subunit ribosomal RNA", at positions 524 to 776 of the family's 1533-position model. The record is from RNAcentral.